UUGAUCCUGGCUCAGAAUCAACGCUGGCGGCGUGCCUAACACAUGCAAGUCGAACGCGAAAGUCCCGCAAGGGAUCAGUAGAGUGGCAAACGGGUGAGUUACACGUGGGUGACCUGCCUUCGAGUGGGGGAUAACGUCCCGAAAGGGACUCUAAUACCGCAUGACAUCCUGCCUUUGAAGAGGUGGAGCUUAAAGCUGGUGAUCGCAAGACCUAGCGCUUGAAGAGGGGCCCGCGCCUGAUUAGCUAGUUGGUGAGGUAACGGCUCACCAAGGCAACGAUCAGUAUCCGGCCUGAGAGGUCGGACGGACACACUGGGACUGAGACACGGCCCAGACUCCUACGGGAGGCUGCAGUGGGGAAUUGUUCGCAAUGGGCGCAAGCCUGACGACGCAACGCCGUGUGGAGGAUGAAGACCUUCGGGUCGUAAACUCCUUUCGAUCGAGACGAAUGGCCCCUGGGCUAAUCACCAGGGGAGUGACGGUACCGAGAGAAGAAGCCUCGGCUAACUCCGUGCCAGCAGCCGCGGUAAUAAGGU
This 536-nucleotide ribosomal RNA is filed under the name uncultured Acidobacteriota bacterium. RNAcentral's name for it is "bacterial SSU rRNA". It matches the Rfam family "Bacterial small subunit ribosomal RNA", at positions 13 to 529 of the family's 1533-position model. The record is from RNAcentral. Lineage: Bacteria; Pseudomonadati; Acidobacteriota.